AAGCGCGCGUAGGUGGUUUGUUAAGUUGGAUGUGAAAUCCCCGGGCCUCAACCUGGGAACUGCAUUCAAAACUGACUGACUAGAGUAUGGUAGAGGGUGGUGGAAUUUCCUGUGUAGCGGUGAAAUGCGUAGAUAUAGGAAGGAACACCAGUGGCGAAGGCGACCACCUGGACUGAUACUGACACUGAGGUGCGAAAGCGUGGGGAGCAAACAGGAUUAGAUACCCUAGU
Molecule: ribosomal RNA, 230 nt
Filed under: uncultured bacterium
Lineage: Bacteria
Description: partial 16S ribosomal RNA
Rfam family: Bacterial small subunit ribosomal RNA
Source: RNAcentral